Long non-coding RNA from Panicum virgatum (switchgrass), 894 nucleotides. RefSeq lists it as uncharacterized. The transcript has 2 exons. The record is from RefSeq and is a predicted model, not a curated record. NCBI's taxonomy places the organism in Eukaryota, Viridiplantae, Streptophyta, Magnoliopsida, Poales, Poaceae.
CCGCGCCACGGCUGGCCGCCGCCGCGCCCCCGCACGGCGCCGUCGCCCUCCACGCCCGCCCUCCGCCGUCCAGCGCUGCGGUCGCGCCUGGCCGGUGCUCGCGCCUGCCGGAGCCCGCGCCUGGCCGGAACUCCUCGCUGGCCGUGCGCGCGCCAUAGCGCCCUCGCCCGCCGCGCCAGGUCGCCUCGCCUGUCGGCGUAGCCCGCCACGCCAGGCCGCCCUCCGCGGCUGCGGCAGCGCCCCUCCCCUGCCUCAGAUGUCAAGGUUUGGAAAAAGUCUUCAUCAGCGGUGGGAUGAAGACGACGAAUCUGAUGACGAUGACCUCCUAAUUCUUGCUGGUCUUAUUGAGGGCUCAAAGAGGAACAAGCAGAAGAAGAACUUUCGUGGAUCUUUGCCUGGUCGUCACAGCGUGCGGAGGGGCAUCUUGGGGGGUCAUGAUGGUAUAUUCCGGGACUACUUUGCCUGGUGUAUCCGUGUGUUGAAGCCCAAGGACUACGAGCAUCGUGAUCCUCUUCUUCUAAAUGACUUCCUCAAGAUACACGAAGAAAUUGAGGACAGGUCGUCACAUGAGCUACUUCGUGAUGAUCUAGUAGAGGCGUAGAGCAUCUAUGGGCAAGAUAUAGUGCUAGGUAGUUUGAUGAUCCUCUGAAAUAUGUCAUAAACUACUUGUAUUUUGUAAAGAUCAGCUAUAUUCAGUUCUGAAUUCUGAAUGUAUUCCGAAUGUAACUUGCUGUUCAGUUCUGAAUUCUGAAUGUAUUCUGAAUGUAACUUGCUGUUGAGUUCUGAAUUCAGCUAACCUGACAUUCAGAGAAAAUUCAGUAAAUAUUCAGCAUAACUCACAUUAUGUAUCCUGUUUUAUUACUAAUGGCUUACUGAUGGUCUCUGAAUGAUCAA